GAUGAACGCUGGCGGCGUGCCUAAUACAUGCAAGUAGAACGCUGAAGGAGGAGCUUGCUCUUCUGGAUGAGUUGCGAACGGGUGAGUAACGCGUAGGUAACCUGCCUGGUAGCGGGGGAUAACUAUUGGAAACGAUAGCUAAUACCGCAUGACAACAGUUAUUGCAUGAUAACUGUUUAAAAGGGGCAACUGCUCCACUACCAGAUGGACCUGCGUUGUAUUAGCUAGUUGGUGAGGUAACGGCUCACCAAGGCGACGAUACAUAGCCGACCUGAGAGGGUGAUCGGCCACACUGGGACUGAGACACGGCCCAGACUCCUACGGGAGGCAGCAGUAGGGAAUCUUCGGCAAUGGACGGAAGUCUGACCGAGCAACGCCGCGUGAGUGAAGAAGGUUUUCGGAUCGUAAAGCUCUGUUGUAAGAGAAGAACGAGUGUGAGAGUGGAAAGUUCACACUGUGACGGUAUCUUACCAGAAAGGGACUGCUAACUACGUG
Molecule: ribosomal RNA, 495 nt
Filed under: uncultured bacterium
Lineage: Bacteria
Description: partial 16S ribosomal RNA
Rfam family: Bacterial small subunit ribosomal RNA
Source: RNAcentral